UCCCCACUUGAGCCUGAAGGGCUCCUCAAGAGCAAAGGAUUGUGUCACUUCCCUUCCCUUUCCUGAACUCCCUCUCCGGUCCUGCUGCUGUUAUUACAGGGGGCUCCCUCCAGGUUACUGCCUCUGAGAAGCCUUCCCUGGCGCCUCCAAACAGAGGGACCAUUGCAGUACUUUCAGGUUACAAAAGAUCAUCACUUCUAUCCUGCUGGCCAACCCUCUCUCCAGCCUUCUCAGCUUGCAUAUUCCAUGAAACAAGCUGCCAUGCUGGCAAGGACCACAUGGCAAGGAAUUGAGAGCAUCCUCUGGCCAGCAGCAAGCUAGGAACCGAGGCCCUCAGUCCAACAACCCUCGAGGGACUGAAUUCUGCCAACAACCAUGUAAACUUGGAUGUGGAUCCUUCCCCAAGUGAGCCUUCAGAGGAGAUGCCAACCCUGGCCAAAACUUUGGUUACAGCCUGUGAGAUAUUCUAAAGCAAAGGAGCUGGCUAAGUUGUGCCCUGACUCUGGCCUACAGAAACUGAGAUAAUAAAAGAAUAUUGUUUUGAGCCAUGA
Molecule: long non-coding RNA, 551 nt
Organism: Callithrix jacchus (white-tufted-ear marmoset)
Lineage: Eukaryota; Metazoa; Chordata; Mammalia; Primates; Cebidae
Source: RefSeq, a predicted model, not a curated record